RNAcentral lists this unclassified non-coding RNA (378 nucleotides) under plant metagenome. RNAcentral describes it as "partial contains 5.8S ribosomal RNA, internal transcribed spacer 2, and large subunit ribosomal RNA". The stretch from base 1 to 105 matches the Rfam family "5.8S ribosomal RNA", at positions 50 to 154 of the family's 154-position model. The record is from RNAcentral.
GAAAUGCGAUAAGUAAUGUGAGUUGCAGAAUUCAGUGAAUCAUCUAAUCUUUGAACGCACCUUGCGCUCCUUGGUAUUCCUUGGAGCAUGCCUGUUUGAGUAUCAUGAAAUCUUCAAAGUAAAUCUUUUGUUAACUCAAUUGGUUUCUACUUUGGUAUUGGAGGUCUUUGCAGCUUCACACCUGCUCCUCUUUGUUCAUUAGCUGGAUCUCAGUGUUAUGCUUGGUUCCACUCGGCGUGAUAAGUUAUCUAUCGCUGAGGACACUGUAAAAGGUGGCCAAGGUAAAUGCAGAUGAACCGCUUCUAAUAGUCCAUUGACUUGGACAAUACUUUUAUGAUCUGAUCUCAAAUCAGGUAGGACUACCCGCUGAACUUAAGC